GGGCAUUGAAUAUCGAACAAUACGUCAAUUUCAAUGAUUUUGGUUUUUUUUGAGACACCCUGUAGAGCUAUCUUGAGUAUAUACAGUGUGUAUAAAAAAAGGCUAGUCUUUGAAAUUCAAAUUAGUCAUAAUUAUAGUGAUCUCAUUGUUCUGAAGUGCAGUCAGGGUGUCCCCCAAAAAAGUGACACUAUAGAAAUUAUCUCAUUGUUCUUAAGCCGCUCGUAAACGCGCGUGAUUACACGCCAAGGAAAUUUAAUGAACUUGUAUUUACAUUUAAGCAUUUUAAAACAUUUUCGCUUUGUCAAAAAGAUCUUCUUCGAGUCAAGCAAAACGAUUACACUAAUAAACGAUUUGCUUUUUUAUUCUAAAUUCCAGAAGCAGACGUUUAUGCACCUGUGGGAUCAACUUAGUGCUAGGGCAUUCAAAUUAUAACAAUAGGAUAAUUUCUAUAGUGUCACGUUUUUUUGGGACACCCUGUACAGGGUGUCUCAAAAAAACCCAAAAUCAUUGAAAUAACGUAUUGUUCGAAUUUCAAUGCCGUAACACAAAGGAUUUUGACAGGGUGAUUAAUUUGUUUUAAAAAAUUAAAAUAUCUUUGUAAAG
Molecule: non-coding RNA, 603 nt
Organism: Paramuricea clavata
Lineage: Eukaryota; Metazoa; Cnidaria; Anthozoa; Malacalcyonacea; Plexauridae
Source: the annotation of a GenBank genome assembly